Felis catus (domestic cat) is the source of this 7691-nucleotide long non-coding RNA. RefSeq lists it as uncharacterized. The record is from RefSeq and is a predicted model, not a curated record. The transcript is spliced from 3 exons. NCBI's taxonomy places the organism in Eukaryota, Metazoa, Chordata, Mammalia, Carnivora, Felidae.
UAUAAUUUUUUUAAAGCUCAGUGAAAACUUUAAACGAUUGUAUAAAUUAAAAGUUAUAAUACAUUGGGUCUAUCAUAGUUAUAUAACAGCCUAAACUUAAAUGUCUUACGGUGCGUCAUGUUUCAGCUGUGCUUGAAAGCACAUGCAAUUUGUCACACAGCUUUGAUAGCAACCACAGUCCUUUAUGCUCUUUAACAACAGGACUGCACCAGUCACUCACUUGAAUGAUAAAAGCACUAUAAAAUUUUCUAAGUGUUUAUUCUAAUUUCUGCAUCUGUCUUCUUGUAGACUGGUAGCAACAUGUGGCCUGACACUGCUCAUGGACCAUUGCUUUCUGAAAGGCGCCAUCAUUAGAGGGAGUUUCAGACAGAGGCAAUGACGAGCAGUCAACAUGUGAGAAAGAAUUGACUAAUGCAACAGAGAUGCAACUUACUUUCAUCUGUGAAACUUCUGGUGUUAUUAGAAAGAGUAUAUCCAUGAACAUUAUUAAAGAAUGUUAUUUUACGUGAAGUAUUCAGAAAUAUUCCCUACACUUUGAAUGUUUAAGAAAUAAUACUUACAUUGCCAUUUUCAAAUUAAACUUGUCACAAAAUCUCAAAGCAUAACAGUGAAACAAAGGGAUUGUUUUUCAGAAACAAAGAAGUGUCUUAAAACUACUCAACACAAUUUGAAUCUUUCCUGAAACUUGAUCUACAUAUUUCCCGGCAAUGUAUUUUUACCAACCUUCAAACUAAACUUCUUUGUUAAAUGUAUGACUUGAUGGCGAUGUCGGAUAUGAAACUACUGUAAGUACUUUCCCUUUUAAAUUUCAGUUGUCAAGUCACGUUAUCUAGUUUAUACUUCUCUGAAUUAUAUUCAGUGCUUUCCCAUUCUUUGCUAACACAACAUCUCAUAAAAUCACAUAGGGUAACAUAAUAUGACAGUUAAAUUUAAGAGACCUCUUAUUUUAUUUGAAAUUCAACCAAUGUUCCAAUUUAAUGGCAAUAGAUGAUUAGAGAAGAAAUGACAUCCUCAUUUCAGAGAUAUUUUUACUCCAAUGUAUUUUUAAUGCUCUCAUGUCUUUUAUUAUUUUGACAGGUUUUCAGAAACAGUUUCAGAAGCCCUUGUUUGGGGCCUGAUUUUUUCCAAUGAGAGAUAUUUAAAAGUUUCAUGAGCACACUAUUGUAAUAUAUGAUACUAUUGAAUGAAAACAUUCUUAAAAGGUAAUUUAAAUAUUUACAUUGUUGAUAAAACCUUCUAGUGACAACACCUGCAAAAUAACUAGGAGACAAAUGACUUUCUCUACUCAAUAGCAUGCAAUCUGAACCAGAACUCACCAAUAAUGAUAUUGAAAAAGUUCUGAUGACACAGUGAUGGCACUUACUGAAAAGGGGUCAUGAUAUGUAAGCAUAUGAUAAUAUAUCUGAUAAUUAGAAGCAAAAGACAAAUCAAAUAACAAAAGAUGCAUACACAAGAUCAGAUGUUGAUUUAAAAAAAUAAUAUACUCUUCUUCCUGGACAUUUUAAGUGUCUUAAAAGAUAUGAUCUCUAAAUAAACAAUGCUUUCAUGGGAAAACAAACACACCUUGGUACUUUUCAGGUAGUAUUUUAUACAUUGCAAAUUCUAGAAAUAAAGUGGAUUCACAUGUAUUGCACCACGUGAUCCUCACAAACAUCUGCAACCCCAUUGAUUUCUCCUGUUAAUCAAUGGAAAACAUGAAAAUCUCCAAGAUCAACUGGCUUCUAUAUUCCACAAAAUCAUGUGGCAAAGUCCCAAUGGUGAUUUCAAGUUGCCGCUUUACCACAGGUAAAGUGCUGUCUUUAGUGACAUAUGCUGGUCUGACCCUCUUCUCCAAGCGCAUUAUCCUGGACUCAUGACUAACCAAAACUCCAAGAGGUUUUUGUUUGUUUGCUUGUUUGUUUUAAAUGUUUUCAAUUUAUAGCACUUGUGCUUACAUUUUGUGUGUAGCAGUAAAUGUGUGUAAAUGCAGUACAUACUGUGUAAAUGCAGUAAAAUUUAAUGCAGUAAAAUCUUAAGUACUGAAAAUUUAUAAAGAGAAGCCAUGAACCUCUUUUAGCAGGUGCAGUUGGGCGGAGACAGAUCCUAUAGGGCAAAAGAGCCAUCAGAGCAAUACAGGGCUAAAAUAUUACCUGCUGUUUACAGAACAGCCUCUAAGGAGUUUAAAGCACGUUACAAAUCCAAUUUGACUAAUCCCAGUGAAGGGUGUGGAGCUCUGCAGAGAACUGCAAAUGAUCACUGCCCUCGUUUACCAUCUCCACUACACUGAAGAGGGACUGUGCCUUCUACUCGAGUAUCAUAAAUCUGUGACACAGCUCAGGCUGGUGCAACACGAACGAAAGCUGAGGAAUGAGGCAGAGAAAGACAAUGGAAAGAGGGAAGAAGCUAAAAUUAUUAAAAGAAAAAAACAUUGUUUCCUUGCCUCACUAAAGCCUUCCAAGGUCUGGUCUACCUCGACCACAUGUCUGACACUGCUGCUCCUCACUCUCCAUAUCUGUCGUGUUUAAUAUUUGAAUGUAUUAAAUCAUGGCAGCUGGUCAUUUUAAAGUUUUGCCCACUUUAUCAGGAGACUAACAUCCCAAUAAUGUUCAUAGUUUUAGGGGGACGGCUUCCAAUUCUACCAAGGUUUAUCUUUUUUAGUUUUUCUCUUCAAACUUAAUUGCUUAAGUAGUUCAUAAAUAUAGUAGCCAUCUUUUCAGAAGCACCUCUACAGUGACAGCCACUCUUAAGGUGCGAUUUUCCUCCUUAUACGAUUUACUCCUCAUUACAAACUUACAAGUAUUAGUGUACAAAUAUGAUUGAAUAGUAUUCAACCUCAAAAAAGAAGGAAAUCCUGCCAUAUGCAACAACAUGGAUGGACGUGGAGGACAUCACACUAAGAGAAACAAGCCAGAUACACAAGGACAAAUACUGCAUGAUUCCACGUAUAUGAGGUAUCUAAAAUAAUCAAAUUUGUGGAAGCAAAGAAUAUAAUUGUGGGUUUUAGGGGCUGAGGGAGAGCAGAAAUGAAGAUUUGCUGAUCAAUAUGUAUAGAAUUUCAGUUAUGGGAGAUGAGUAAGUUCUCAUGAGCUACUAUGCAACAUCAUGCCUAUAGAAAACACUUAAAAAUGUGCGAGGGUAGAGCUCAUGUUAAGUGUUAUUACCACAGUAAAAGAAACAUAAAAGGAAAAAUAGACUCCAUGCUCAUUUGAGUUAUGAAGAAGCAGAGAUUCAGAGAUGUCAAAGAAAUGUGCCAGGGUUAUAGAGAUGGUAAGUGGUAAAGCAGAACCCACUGUUAUCAUUCAAGGUUCUCAAGACAAAUAUGAGCAGAAACUACAGAUGGAGAUUAUAAUAUUAUCUAUUAGCUAUAUGAUACAUAAUAUUAUUAUAUAUACAAAAUAUAUAUAUAGAGAGAGACUUGAAGGUGUUGACUUGUGUGAUUUGGGGGUCUGGCAAGUCCUAAAUUCACACUGGAAGACAACUGGCUGGAAACUCGGGUAAAAUUUGAAGUUGCAGCUUGAGUCCUAAAUCUACAUGUCAGAACAUCAGGCUGGAAACUCAGGAAAGGAUGUCUACAUUACAGUUUUGAGGAAGAAUUCCUUCUCUGGAAAACCUCAGUUUUUGCUUUUAAGGUUUUGGACUGAUGGGAUGAGUGAGGUCUACCCACAUUUUUGCAGGUGAUCUCCCCUACUUAAAGUCAAAAGUGACCUUGUAUCUACAAAAUACCUUCACAGCAUCAUCUAGAGAGAACUUGACCAAGCAGCACUGAGCACCAUUUCCUAGCCAGGAAAUGGUUUUAGUUGACACAGAAAAUCAACUGUCUACAAUACCUAAAACCCCAAACCAUGUGCUGAACAGUCACAUGGCAAUGCUUUCAAUAUCUGAAAUUUUUGGAGUUCAAUAUCUUACCUAUAAUUAUGUAAUAUAAGUUGUUGGCAUUCCAAUUACCUAUUUACUUCCAUGCAUUUUUAUUAUGUAGUAAAUAUGUGUGUGUAUGUGUACAUAUAUGGAUACAUAUAUACAUCUAUAUGUAUAUACUAACCAAUUUAGACUGAGACUAAUAGUUGGCCAAUCAGAAUUAACAAAAAAUAAUAAAUAUUUUUUUUAAUGUUAACACAUUUUAAAGCAAAGAAGGUGUAGUUUACAUAAAUUUCAUUAAUUAGCAAUUUAUACUAUUUUGGUGAUUAAUGCUGUGUAAAGUUUUUAUGUUAAAUAAUUCUGUAAAUCAAACCUCUCUACCUAUAUAUUUUUGACCUUUUUAAUAAUCUAUGUGCCAUGUAAGUGGCACCAAUAUUUUCCCUCCUCAGGUUGAUGCACAGAACCACAAAUUAAACUUGAUAUUCACCAUGUGUGGUGUUACAUUAUCUCAGACACUGUGUCCCCUUUGAAAACCACAGUGGAGCAGAGAUGUGCAAAACAGUAGUCUAGCUUGUUAUAGGUAUUCGCUGUUAUUUGGUCAUGUACACUCAUCCAAAAUUUGCUCUGAUUAGUAAGUACCUGUAACUUUUAUUUUGGUACAGCUUCAUUCUGCUAAUCUCCUAAAAUGGAUCAAAUCUAAAUCUAUGGCAGAUAAGAUCACUACAAUUUUUCUUUGUAACCUGAGGGAGAAAAAUACUCUAAUAUUUUUUUUAUAAAACCUCUGCUUGUGGAGACUUUUCUAUAAAAUUAAAUUUAUCAAAAUGUGUUUUCCCCAAAACAAAGUGUGUUGAAAUGUACGAUUUUCAGAUCACAUUUUGUUUAGAUAUUUUAUAAAUAAAUGUCCCUAAGUAAUCUGUAAAGCAGAUUUUGUAUCAGAUUAAUGCUUUAGAAAUGAAUUUGGUGGCAUUCUAAUUAUAAUUAAUACCGUACUUAAUAUAUUACAAUAACUACUUUAAUUCCCUUAAAAACUUGUUAAUAUUUUUAUUAAAAUUGAGAGAAAAAUCUUCAAAGCUGUCAAUAGUCAGAAAGACAUUUGCUACCAUAAGUGACUUCUAUGAUAAUUACAAAAAUGUGGACCUUAAAAUAUUAUGUAAAUUUUAUUAAGUGACAAAGUCACACAGGUUUUGAGAAAUUACACCACAGUUGCUCAUUAACAGGUCUACAUUAAUGUAAAUCUCUUUAAAGAUUUAUUUUCUCAUUGUUUUGAAGAACAGUAACUUUACUGAUAUAUUAAUGACCUAAUUGUGACUAGCUGAUCCCAUUUUCAUUUGAAGGAUCGUUCCCUUGAUCCAUUCAAUAAAUACUGUAUAUGGGAAAACGGAAUUUGGAUUGAUGGGCAAGAAUUGUAAUCAGCACACACAGAUUUAUGGGUUGAGGGAAUAAUGUGAUUAUGCAAAGAAAAAUGAAAAGAUGUUUAUGGGCCAUUGAAGAACAACACAGAGUAUUUGUGUUUAGUAUGUCAUGACUAUGGAAGGUAGCAGGAGGAAUUGUGUGAAAUUCUCAUUGUCUUGUAAGUGUACAGGAGACAGAGUACUAGAAGUCUGUGUGUUGUGCCUUUAUUUUCUUUUGUCAGUGACAGAAUAAGAUGGACUGUUGAAGCAGCAGAAUCUUUGGAAAUUCUCCAGAUUCAUAUUUCUAAACAACAUUAGUCCCCAGCAGUAUGAUUUUUGUAGGAUUACAUUGUUCUAUAAAUCAUUGUCCAGGGGGAUUCAGGAACCAAAAAUUAGUAUUAUCUGACAAUUUCUGAAGCAGAUAAUCACCAAAAUAAUUUGAGUUGAAUAUCCUGACAUCAAACAAAUUAUUUAAAAGUUAAUGGAUGAAGUUGGAAUUGAAAUUGUCUCAACAUGAGAUGUAAUCAUUGUAUAAAAGAAGACAAAAAAUGGCAUAACACAAAGAUGAAUAAAUUUGAGGACUAAUAUAUAUAUUAGUAUACAUAUAUAUUUAGGAUUUAGACAAAUAAAAUCAUCUGUGUAAUUCCACAGUAGACCUUUUCUCCUUUUUCAGCUAGAUUCGAUGUCCCUUGUCUAAAAGUACCCAACAGAGAUGAAUUGGCAUACUAAGAGUUCUGCAGAUAUGAAAAAUGGAUUCAAUUUUUAUAUCAAUUAGCUAAUCAACAGCAAUUAAGAUUGCAAUUAGUGAAGUGCCAACUUCAAAAACUGUAGAGCUUAGGCUCUCUUGGAGUAAACUGACAGUAAAGUAUGUUGCCUCUUCAGAGUUUAUUGGACUUCAUCAAAUUUGCUGAUAUAACCAAACUCACCUGAAUGAACUAUAAAAAUUGAUUAUCUGUGAACACUUUAUCCUGAAAUGUGGAUUUGUGUGUGAUUUUGAAAACUAGGGAGAGUUUGUUGGAAAGUUGAACUUCAUCUUUGCUAGUUGCUUCUUUUUAUUUUUGACAUUUUUAUUGCCCCAAAUGUAAAGCAAACAAAGUUUGCUAAUAUUUUAUUCUGAUUUACAAGCUUCACAAUAGGUUUCAAAAUUGUUUCCUGCUAGAUAGAAUAUUUUAACUAGUAAUUUUUAACUAUUAAAAAAUUGUGCAUUUCCCAUCAAUAACUAGAUGAAAUUUUAUUUCCUAUAAGGAAGUUCAUAUGACUUCAUUACAAGUGAAUCUGAUGUUUUCAGAAUUUCCUUAGAAAAAUGUGUCUGCAUCUUGUCAUCUUAAUUCGUAAUUGUUAGCUCAUUAUAUUGACUCCCUGAGAUAACAGUGACAUGGAAACCUAUCUUUUGCUAGCAUAUAACAUAGGCCAAUUUGAAAACAACUUGAUUCCCAUGUAGCUGAUUUGUACUAGUAAAACGUGUAAACAUAAGGGGUAUGUUAAAUUAGUUUUUCACUUUGAGAUGGGCAUUCAAAUAGACAUAAAAUUAAUACCUGGCACUUCUGUUUUCAUAAUAAUUGACUGUCAAUGGCACUAAUAUUAUUCAAAAUUGGGAAUUCAGUUUGAGUUUAUAGUUCCACUAUUUAAGAAAGUACAUCCCCAAUGGCUAAGAUAGCAAUCUCAGCAGUUAGAGACAGAUGGGGCUAAGUCUUGCUUGUAUUGCCACAUCUUAUAUAGGGUUAACAGGGUUAACAGGGUUGCUUUUUAUGUAGCAGGAGAUCACAAUGCUACCUGGAUCUUAGGGUUGCUGAGAUGAUCAUAUAAAAUGAUAUGUAUCACUUACCAAGCCCACAGUAACUCCUAAAGACUUUUCUCAUGCUUUCUUUCCAACACCCCCUUCCAGCUCACCUUUAUUCCCCAGCCUAGACAUGAUGAAGUAUGAGCUCGUUGGCAAACCAUGUCCUGAACUUGCCCACUUUUUACACCUUUGCUGAGCACCAACCACCACCCAAGUUGCCUUCUCCUAGUUUCCCCUUUUAAAAAACUACCUACUUUUUAGAGCAAUGCUUAGAUGUCCUUAUUUAUGAAAUCUCACCCAAUUUCCCCAGCCUAAUGUUCUGGCUUUCUAUGAAAUUAUGUUGCUUCUUUUUACACAUUUCAUAUUUUUCCUGGGAUUAUAUGAAUUUGUGAGUGUGCAGUUUUAACUUCUUAUAAGUAAACAUGGAUAUACAAAAAACAAAAAUCAAACCAUUAUAAAGUAGUAAUUAUGUUUAUUCGUCUGUAUCUUGUCUUUCUGUCUCCAUCGCUCCACCCAUCAAUCCAUAUUAUCACUAACUUUGCUUUUUAUCAUUCUUCUUUUGCUCAUUUUCUCUCUUACAAGUUUGUUUCCUACAUGUCCAUUAAAUUUCCCCACCUAUAGUCUCUGCACUGGCUAUAGUCUCUAUUGUGGAUUAUAUUUCUCCUAGAUGUUUAACAGACUGAGUC